UUUUAUGGAGAGUUUGAUCCUGGCUCAGGAUGAACGCUGGCGGCGUGCCUAAUACAUGCAAGUCGAGCGAACGGACGAGAAGCUUGCUUCUCUGAUGUUAGCGGCGGACGGGUGAGUAACACGUGGAUAACCUACCUAUAAGACUGGGAUAACUUCGGGAAACCGGAGCUAAUACCGGAUAAUAUUUUGAACCGCAUGGUUCAAAAGUAAAAGACGGUCUUGCUGUCACUUAUAGAUGGAUCCGCGCUGCAUUAGCUAGUUGGUAAGGUAACGGCUUACCAAGGCAACGAUGCAUAGCCGACCUGAGAGGGUGAUCGGCCACACUGGAACUGAGACACGGUCCAGACUCCUACGGGAGGCAGCAGUAGGGAAUCUUCCGCAAUGGGCGAAAGCCUGACGGAGCAACGCCGCGUGAGUGAUGAAGGUCUUCGGAUCGUAAAACUCUGUUAUUAGGGAAGAACAUAUGUGUAAGUAACUGUGCACAUCUUGACGGUACCUAAUCAGAAAGCCACGGCUAACUACGUGCCAGCAGCCGCGGUAAUACGUAGGUGGCAAGCGUUAUCCGGAAUUAUUGGGCGUAAAGCGCGCGUAGGCGGUUUUUUAAGUCUGAUGUGAAAGCCCACGGCUCAACCGUGGAGGGUCAUUGGAAACUGGAAAACUUGAGUGCAGAAGAGGAAAGUGGAAUUCCAUGUGUAGCGGUGAAAUGCGCAGAGAUAUGGAGGAACACCAGUGGCGAAGGCGACUUUCUGGUCUGUAACUGACGCUGAUGUGCGAAAGCGUGGGGAUCAAACAGGAUUAGAUACCCUGGUAGUCCACGCCGUAAACGAUGAGUGCUAAGUGUUAGGGGGUUUCCGCCCCUUAGUGCUGCAGCUAACGCAUUAAGCACUCCGCCUGGGGAGUACGACCGCAAGGUUGAAACUCAAAGGAAUUGACGGGGACCCGCACAAGCGGUGGAGCAUGUGGUUUAAUUCGAAGCAACGCGAAGAACCUUACCAAAUCUUGACAUCCUUUGACAACUCUAGAGAUAGAGCCUUCCCCUUCGGGGGACAAAGUGACAGGUGGUGCAUGGUUGUCGUCAGCUCGUGUCGUGAGAUGUUGGGUUAAGUCCCGCAACGAGCGCAACCCUUAAGCUUAGUUGCCAUCAUUAAGUUGGGCACUCUAAGUUGACUGCCGGUGACAAACCGGAGGAAGGUGGGGAUGACGUCAAAUCAUCAUGCCCCUUAUGAUUUGGGCUACACACGUGCUACAAUGGACAAUACAAAGGGCAGCGAAACCGCGAGGUCAAGCAAAUCCCAUAAAGUUGUUCUCAGUUCGGAUUGUAGUCUGCAACUCGACUACAUGAAGCUGGAAUCGCUAGUAAUCGUAGAUCAGCAUGCUACGGUGAAUACGUUCCCGGGUCUUGUACACACCGCCCGUCACACCACGAGAGUUUGUAACACCCGAAGCCGGUGGAGUAACCUUUUAGGAGCUAGCCGUCGAAGGUGGGACAAAUGAUUGGGGUGAAGUCGUAACAAGGUAGCCGUAUCGGAAGGUGCGGCUGGAUCACCUCCUUUCUAA
RNAcentral lists this ribosomal RNA (1557 nucleotides) under Staphylococcus aureus. RNAcentral's name for it is "16S ribosomal RNA". It matches the Rfam family "Bacterial small subunit ribosomal RNA". Lineage: Bacteria; Bacillati; Bacillota; Bacilli; Caryophanales; Staphylococcaceae. The record is from RNAcentral.